AGAGUUUGAUCCUGGCUCAGGAUGAACGCUAGCUACAGGCUUAACACAUGCAAGUCGAGGGGAAACGACAUCGAAAGCUCGCUUUUGAUGGGCGUCGACCGGCGCACGGGUGAGUAACGCGUAUCCAACCUGCCCACCACUUGGGGAUAACCUUGCGAAAGUAAGACUAAUACCCAAUGACGUCUCUAGAAGACAUCUGAAAGAGAUUAAAGAUUUAUCGGUGAUGGAUGGGGAUGCGUCUGAUUAGCUUGUUGGCGGGGUAACGCCGCAAGGCUACGAUCAGUAGGGGUUCUGAGAGGAGGUCCCCACAUUGGAACUGAGACACGGUCCAACUCCGUACGGGAGGCA
Molecule: ribosomal RNA, 348 nt
Filed under: uncultured bacterium
Lineage: Bacteria
Description: bacterial SSU rRNA
Rfam family: Bacterial small subunit ribosomal RNA
Source: RNAcentral